UACGACCGUACCGCAAACCGACACUGGUGCGCGAGAUGAGUAUUCUAAGGCGCUUGAGAGAACUCAGGAGAAGGAACUCGGCAAAUUGACACCGUAACUUCGGAAGAAGGUGUGCCCUAUUAGUGUGUAGUGAACAACGAAGCAUGAAUGGGUUGCAAAAAAUCGGUGGCUGCGACUGUUUAUUAAAAACACAGCACUCUGCAAACACGAAAGUGGACGUAUAGGGUGUGACGCCUGCCCGGUGCUGGAAGAUUAAAUGAUGGGGUGCAAGCUCUUGAUUGAAGUCCCAGUAAACGGCGGCCGUAACGAUAACGGUCCUAAGGUAGCGAAAUUCCUUGUCGGGUAAGUUCCGACCUGCACGAAUGGCGUAACGAUGGCCACACUGUCUCCUCCUGAGACUCAGCGAAGUUGAAAUGUUUGUGAUGAUGCAAUCUCCCCGCGGAAAGACGGAAAGACCCCAUGAACCUUUACUGUAGCUUUGUAUUGGACUUUGAACAGAUCUGUGUAGGAUAGGUGGGAGGCUUUGAGGCAGGGCCGCUAGAUCUUGUGGAGCCAACGUUGAAAUACCACCCUGGUGUGUUUGAGGUUCUAACCUAGGUCCAUUAUCUGGAUCGGGGACAGUGCAUGGUAGGCAGUUUGACUGGGGCGGUCUCCUCCCAAAGCGUAACGGAGGAGUUCGAAGGUACGCUAGUUACGGUCGGACAUCGUGACGAUAGUGCAAUGGCAUAAGCGUGCUUAACUGCGAGACUGACAAGUCGAGCAGAUGCGAAAGCAGGACAUAGUGAUCCGGUGGUUCUGUAUGGAAGGGCCAUCGCUCAACGGAUAAAAGGUACUCUGGGGAUAACAGGCUGAUACCGCCCAAGAGUUCAUAUCGACGGCGGUGUUUGGCACCUCGAUGUCGGCUCAUCUCAUCCUGGGGCUGUAGCCGGUCCCAAGGGUAUGGCUGUUCGCCAUUUAAAGAGGUACGUGAGCUGGGUUUAAAACGUCGUGAGACAGUUUGGUCCCUAUCUUCCGUGGGCGCUGCAGAUUUGAGGAAGCCUGCUCCUAGUACGAGAGGACCGGAGUGGACACACCUCUGGUGUAUCGGUUGUCACGCCAGUCGCAUUGCCGAGUAGCUAAGUGUGGAAGAGAUAACCGCUGAAAGCAUCUAAGCGGGAAACUCGUUUCAAGAUGAGAUCUGCCGGGGCCUUGAGCCCCCUAAAGAGUCGUUCAAGACCAGGACGUUGAUAGGUCAGGUGUGGAAGCG
This 1246-nucleotide ribosomal RNA is filed under the name metagenome. Its description in RNAcentral is "bacterial LSU rRNA". It matches the Rfam family "Bacterial large subunit ribosomal RNA", at positions 1637 to 2875 of the family's 2925-position model. The record is from RNAcentral.